CCCUGGGCUCGCGGAGCUUCCAUGGCGGCUGCGCGGCGGCAGAGAGGGGGCCGUGCCGCUUUUACUGCCGCUGCGCGCUUGAGGCGCGCGCUCCCUAGUACCCUUUUUGCGGCUCCUCUUUCUGGUCGAGUUUUGCCGGGGCGUGUGGGGAACCUACGUUCUUUG
RNAcentral lists this long non-coding RNA (165 nucleotides) under Neogale vison (American mink). RNAcentral's name for it is "Neovison vison (American mink) TTC28 antisense RNA 1 conserved region 1 (ENSNVIG00000004242.1)". It matches the Rfam family "TTC28 antisense RNA 1 conserved region 1". The record is from RNAcentral. Lineage: Eukaryota; Metazoa; Chordata; Mammalia; Carnivora; Mustelidae.